RNAcentral lists this transfer RNA (71 nucleotides) under Marmota monax (woodchuck). RNAcentral describes it as "tRNA.Ala". Lineage: Eukaryota; Metazoa; Chordata; Mammalia; Rodentia; Sciuridae. The record is from RNAcentral.
GGGGUUGUGGCUCAGUGGUGGAGUGCUCACCUAGCAUGUACAGAGCUCUGGGUUCAAUCCUCAGCACCACA